RNAcentral lists this ribosomal RNA (158 nucleotides) under uncultured bacterium. RNAcentral describes it as "partial 16S ribosomal RNA". It matches the Rfam family "Bacterial small subunit ribosomal RNA", at positions 355 to 509 of the family's 1533-position model. The record is from RNAcentral.
UGAGGAAUAUUGGUCAAUGGGCGCGAGCCUGAACCAGCCAAGUCGCGUGAGGGAGGACGGCCCUACGGGUUGUAAACCUCUUUUGCCGGGGAGCAACGGGCGCCACGUGUGGCGCCACUGAGAGUACCCGGAGAAAAAGCAUCGGCUAACUCCGUGCC